Long non-coding RNA from Cercocebus atys (sooty mangabey), 1043 nucleotides. RefSeq lists it as uncharacterized. The record is from RefSeq and is a predicted model, not a curated record. The transcript has 4 exons. Lineage: Eukaryota; Metazoa; Chordata; Mammalia; Primates; Cercopithecidae.
AACGAGGUGUCAAUUCAAGUGUCAGAGAAAGGACCACCAGAGAGACCAUCACUGAGACUAGGAAUACCUGAAAGUGCAGCAGACAAAAAAAGAGAAUUUCAAGGCAGGCAGGGAGAAGACGGAGAUGCGAAAGACACCAGUCCUUAGGGUGGGGAGCACACUUCCGGGACGCGAGGGACCCCUUCCAGGUGAGAGCCCAGUUCUCUACAAUUAAGAAAGAAAAAAAAGCCCAACUUUGACCCCGACGUGACUUGAACACGCAACCUUCUGAUCUGGAGUCAGACGCGCUACCAUUGCGCCACGAGGUCACAGCAAGCAUGCGACUUCGCAUCGCUAAAGACCUCGUUUCUCCAGUAUGGUCGCAGGGCUGGGAGGCUACGGAGGAAAAAUGCCCUCUUUCCUGAAUUCCAGCACCAAUUUAGAGCCCUGGCGAGUGUCGUUUCUCGGGUGUGGGAACACGGACGCGCUGGGACAUCCCAGACUGAACUGCGGCGCCGCAGCGGAGCAGCUACCCGGCGGCCGACACUCGGGCUCCGCCUUCUCCGCGUCGCGGAGUGACCCAGCGAGGGGACGCCGGGAUGUGGGGACUGGCCCCGGGGGGUGGGAUUGAGGAGAUGCCCGGGUGGAGGCCUGGGAUCAGGGGGAUCCCGGGGCCAUAGGGAUUCUGGGAGGGAGCGAGGGGACGCAGGGGAGAAGGGGACGCCGCGGAGGACUAGGGGACGUGGGGGUGGGUGACUCCGAGGAGCAGUAGGGACGCCGCAGAUGUGAGAGAAGAGCAGGAAUUUAGGAUCAACUGUGAGUCCUGAGGUGCCAGCCCCCAGGCUGUCAGAAAAGCAGGAAGCCAAAGGCUCCUUGUCUUUCCUCUGGGAGGGAAGUCAGCGGCAAUUACUGAUUCCACCUCCAGGUGGCCAGACACCAUCAGCCACACAGCAAAGACACUGUGAGAACUUCAGAACCUGCAUCCAGAGUCUACUGGAAGGCUGCCCCACACCAAGGAAAGACCAGUGUCACUCUAUUUCUUUUUUUUUUUUUUUUUUUGAGAC